CCUACGGGGGGCAGCAGUCGAGAAUCUUUCACAAUGGAGGAAACCCUGAUGCUGCGACGCCGCGUGGGGGAAUGAAGCUCUUCGGAUUGUAAACCGCUUUCAUGUGGGAGCAAAUUAAAAAGAUAGUACCACAAGAGGAAGAGACGGCUAACUCUGUGCCAGCAGCCGCGGUAAUACAGAGGUCUCAAGCGUUGUUCGGAAUCAGUGGGCGUAAAGCGUGCGUAGGCUGUUUCGUAAGUCGGGUGUGAAAGGCGCGGGCUCAACCCGCGGACGGCACAUGAUACUGGGAGACUAGAGAAAUGGCGGGGGAACCGGAAUGCAUGGUGUAGCAGUGAAAUGCGUAGAUAUC
Molecule: ribosomal RNA, 349 nt
Filed under: uncultured bacterium
Lineage: Bacteria
Description: partial 16S ribosomal RNA
Rfam family: Bacterial small subunit ribosomal RNA
Source: RNAcentral